Oncorhynchus nerka (sockeye salmon) is the source of this 1526-nucleotide long non-coding RNA. RefSeq lists it as uncharacterized. The record is from RefSeq and is a predicted model, not a curated record. The transcript is spliced from 3 exons. Lineage: Eukaryota; Metazoa; Chordata; Actinopteri; Salmoniformes; Salmonidae.
GAGAGAGAGAGAGAGAUUGUGGAGAAAACAAAUAAAGAGAGAUUGAUUGCGAGGAUUAACUGUUGGGUCUCUCGGGAUCAUUUCAGCGAGAAUGUCUGUGCUAUUCUGUUGCUGUGUCUCUCCUUCCGAAGACAAUGACGAGAGACAGCCUCUACUUCACACCAAGCCUUCAAAAUCAGCUAAACCAGAGUCGGACAGACAGCCUCGACCAGCACACACAGUGAGCCAGAGUGGGCGCUUGGUCCCAAAGCGUGUGGGUCUAAUAGACGUGGACCAGCGGUUCUCUGAUGUAGCCAUGACGUUCAACCAACAACAGGAGAACUAUGAUGCCAUGAAGGAACGCAUCAUCUCUCUGCGACGCACCUACGACUGUAACAAUGACAGCAACCUGACACUUACGGAGUGUGUGAGGAAGAUUAAAGAGGAGCACAGUGAGACACACACACACACAUUUGUUUUAGUAUCCUUGUGAGGACCAAACAAUUGAUUCCCAUUCAAAAUCCUAUUUUCCCUAACCCCUAACCCCUAACCCUUAAUCUAACCCCUUAACCUAACCCCUUAACCUAACCCUUACCCUAACCCUUAACCUAACCCUUACCCUAACCCUUACCCUAACCCUUAACCUAACCCUUACCCUAACCCUUAACCUAACCCCUUACCCUAACCCUUACCCUAACCCUUAACCUAACCCUUACCCUAACCCCUUACCCUAACCCAUAACCUAACCCAUAACCUAACCCCUUACCCUAACCCUUAACCUAACCCCUUACCCUAACCCUUACCCUAACCCUUAACCUAACCCUUACCCUAACCCCUUACCCUAACCCAUAACCUAACCCAUAACCUAACCCCUUACCCUAACCCCUUAACCUAACCCCUAAUUGUAACCUUAACCUAAAACAGCCUUUUUUCCUUGUGGAGACCGGCUAAAUUUCCCCACUUGUCUGAAUUUUCCUUGUUUUACUAUCAUUGUGAGGACUUCUGGUCCCCAUGAGGAUAGUGAAACCAACCAAAAGAAAACACGCAGGCAUAACAGAGCCAUGCCAGUCCUCUCUCUCUUCCUGACCUCACACAGUUCCAACUCCAUCAUCAAGUUCGCUGACGACACGACAGUUGUAGGCCUGAUUACCAACAACGACGAGACGGCCUACAGAGAGGAUGUAAGCACUCUGACGGCAUGGUGCCAUUUAAACGUUUCUCCCUCAACGGCAGCAAAACAAAGGAGCUGAUUGUGGACUUCAGGAGGAACCGGGCUAGGCAUGCCCACAUCCUUAUCAACUGGGCAGCCGCGGUGACGGUCAAAACCCACCAAGUUCCUAGGCGUACACAUCUCCGAGGAGCUGAAACGGUCAACCCACUCGGAUACCGGGGUGAAGAAAGCACGACAGCGACUCUUCAACCUCAGGACAUUCUACUUCUCACUUCCUCCCCAUUGCUCCCCCUAUGGACAUUCCCUCUGGAACAUUCCACCCCCCCUCCCCCUACCCUCAUCCCCAAUGGACAUUCCCUCUGGAACAUUCCACUCC